CCUCGAUUACUAUUGAUAAACUCGCAUUGAUUCGAAACCAAUUCAAAUUCAAAUUCAAAAUCAAGUCAAACGGUAAAGUUUUUCAAAUAUUAAAACUAAAAUGUUCCGGUUGUGCCAAAUAAUCCAUAGGAAAUUAUGGUGGGGAAAUAAACUUUUUGUAAAGUAUUUAAGUGGCCUAGAAUAAUUAAAACAUGGGCCAAUUAUUUAUUAAAAACAUUUUCAAAAUGGUAGAAAUCUCCAAACUAUUUUAUUUGCCCCGAACCUUUUUUGAUAGUAGCCUAUAUUACUAUACUAAUUGUGGAGGAAGUUUUGUUUUUAUUAAGACUAAAAUGGUUAAGAACCUAAAUAAUAACUAGUAGUUGAAAUAAAAAGAAAACAAAGAAAAAGGAAAGAAAGAAAACCCCGUGUCUUCCCCCUCCCCUUCAGCCGUUUGGCCCAACUGGGCAUCCAACCCACCAGCCCACAGGCCCACCCCACAUCCCCACUUAUCCCCAACCUCUUGCUACAGGGAAGUGGGGGAUCAUGGCGGGCAUCCGAUCGGCCAUGGUCGCACCAUGGCGCGUGCCGGCCAUCCCCCGGUCCCCUUGGAGUAUAAGGUCGAGCCCCCGACCUCUCUCACGAACCCUAGUUCUCCCUCUCUUCCUCCUCGUGUCGUUUCUUCCACCCGAGAACACACCCGAGACCCCAUGGCCGUGCUGCCAUGAAUCCCGUGGCCACUUCUCUCCCCGAACUACGAGAUCAUGUCGAAGGGGACCGCCGUCGUCUGCUGCAUCAUCUGCUGGGAUCCAUCCGAACGGAGCCGCACUACAUCGUCGGAUCGGGCAACUCCCUCCACUUCGGUCGCCGCGUAGCCCCGCCUCCGGCCACCCCCACACCUUCCCGAGCUUGUCACUCACCUCCUCAUGAGUUCCUCCCUCGAUCCCAUGAUUUCCCCUUUUUCCCUUCGCUGUUGCCCGCAGCCCCGUCCUGUCGCCGAACUCCGCCGUGGCCGCAUCGGAGCCCCGCUCCCUCUCGCUCACCGCGCCCCCUGUUCGCUCCUGCCCGUGCCAGCUUGCGUGUGGCCUCGCCCCUCCGCCCACGCCCACCGACGCUGCUUCUCGCCUAGGUCGUGCCCUGCUCAGCCGUCCGCGCCUUCGCGCCGUCCAUUGCCACUGCCUGCUGUGCUGUGCUGCUGCUGUCGCGUCUGUCACAUCCCUAGUUCUGGUAUGACCUAGACUAGCUAGUCAUUUGUGCAUCAUGUUUAAAUUCCAUUUAAAUUUGAAAUGGGGAUUGGUGAAACCCUCAGAAAUCAUUUCUGGAAAUGACCCAGAUAAAAAGUGCUCCAAAAAGGACCAAGAAAAUGUUCAUGUUGCUCUCUGAAAAUAUUGGUCAGAGGUAGAAUUCAAACCAAUAAUUUGAGGAGCCCAUAAAUAUUUAUUUUGGCCUUUUGGAAUUAAUACAAUAAUUAUUUGCCUUGGAUAUAUAUAUGUGAUAUAUUUUAUAUAUGUCCAAAAUUUCUGAUUUUUGCUGAGGGGCUUUGGAAUAACCCCUUAGGUCCCUGCAAAAAUUGUCAGGAGAAAAUAAAAUGAUUUAGUAUUUUACUAAAUCAGAACAAAUGCAAGAAAAAUAGAAAACAGAAAAGAAAAAGGAGAGAGAGAAAGGAACUUACCUGACUUACCUGGCGCCCCACCACGGCCCAGCAGAGGCCCAGCCCACUGGCCUCUACCAGUCACCACCUACCUCCCGCCAAGAGGACAGCGCGCGUGUGGCCGCCGCACGCGAGCACGUGCCCCGCCACCUCCUGCUUCCCGAUGCUGCCUCGACGGCCAGGACGUCGCCACGCACUACCUGGUCCCUCUUGCUCACUCCCUCGAGCUCCUCCCCCUCCUCAGUUCUCUCUCUCGCACGCACCCGAGCGCAGCCGACGCCACUGCUCGCCGUUGCCGUGGCCACUGCCUCCCCCUCGUCCCUCCGUCGUGUCCACGCGCUCCGCCGCUGUGGGCUACGCCUCCUCGACGAGACGCACGGCGCCGGACGCCCUGGAAUGCCGCCAUCACCAUCGUCUUCCACCUCGGGCUCCGCCGUCCACCACCGUCGAUUCGUCGUCACCAGGCCUCCCCCGUGCCCACCGUGCUGCUUCGCGUGAUCGCCGUGAGCAUAUCCCUAUUUCCCCUCUCUUCUCCCCCUCGUUCCCGUGUCGUAGCCGUGGUUUCCACCCCGGCCGAAGCCAUCGCCCCCGCAGCCCCUCGCCGUCGUGGCCACAGCCGCCGUAGCUCGCAGCCGAGCCCGCUGUUGCACUCAGUGCACUCUAGCGAGUCAAGCGGACCCGCUCGCAGCUCCUGCUGUGCCCCAAAACACCGCGCGCGCACCUGGCCGAACUCCGGCUGCCGCACUCGUUGUCGCCGGCGCCACUCCGGCCACUCCCCGGCCAUGCCACCACCACGGUUGGAUGCGGACGAGCGUCCGCAUCCCGUAGCUGCACUCCGCGCGCCAAAUGGCUCCCUAUAGGCAAAACCCGCAGUGCACCGCCGCGUCUGGACUCGCCGGCGGCUAAACGCCGGCGACCGCUGACCUUUGACUGGCGUGGGUUGACCCCACUGCCCAGUUUGACCUCCCCAUCUCUCUCACUGACUUGCGGGCCCCACCCGACUAAUUACUCUAGUUAGCACUAAUUAACUAGCUAGAUUAGCUACUACAAUCACUGACUAGUGGGCCUUGCCCAGUUAGUUAGUUGACUGGGUCACUGACCAGUGGGACCCACUGGUCAGGUUUGACCUGGUCAGCCCCGUUGACUCGCUUACGUCAUGCUGACGUAGAGCUGAUGCAAUAAUUGAUUUCUGGAAUUAUUUUAACUCAGGAAAUUCUAGAAUAUUGCUUAAACUUCUAAAAUUCAUAGAAAUUCAACCGUAGCUCAGAAUGAAAUAAUUUAUAUAUGAAAAAUUAUCAGAAAAAUGCAAGGAAUCCAUUUAUGCCAGUUCCAUGCAUGAAUAACCAACUUAUACAUGCUGUAUAAGUGAAAACAUAAUAUGGGCAUUUUAAAUGCUUCAUUUUGAAUUGCAUUUGAAUCUUGAUUCAAAUGGGCUUCAACCAACUUGGUAGCAUCUUGCAUUAGCCCAAACACUAGCAUUUGAACAUGUCAUGUUCAUGCAUCAUAUUGUUGCAUUUGUUUGUGUAUUGAUUGUCGGCACCGUUUCUUCUCGAUAGGUUCCACUCCGGAAGGUGUUCUCGAGUACCUGUCAGAGGAGCAGUGCCCCUUCGUCGUCUAUCGGGAAAGCAAACCCCCUUAAGCAUUUUGAUAAAUCCCACUAUCUCACUCUUGCUCCUUAUACUGCAUUAGGACAACAAUGAUUCAACUGCUACUUUUCUGCUGCGGUAGUUGAACCCAUUCCUCUGCAUGACCAGUCAUUGCCGCAGUAACUAGUUGAAACCCACUAGCAUGAGUAGGAGUUGCUUGAGCCUUGAUGUUCCUACUCAUCCAUGCUUGUUUUAUUUAUGCCAGCUAUGCUUAGAUUUGUGUCAGGUUUGAUUCAUCGGGAAUGAAUCGGAGUGGUGAACAUGUCCUACCGAUAAAGGCUAAGUGUGUGAACAAGUUUUGGUAAAGGUAGCGAUGAGAGGCCAUGUAGGAGUACAUGGUGGGUUGUCUCAUUGGAACCGUCCCUAAGCACUAAGUUUUGUGUAUGUUAUCCAAGUCCAGUUACUACCACACAUUCGGUUCCAGUUAUCCGGCCCCUCUCGGCUUAUUAAUCCACUUGAUCUCUGUCCAGGAGUUGCAACUAGUUUCUGGCGUUUGUAGGUAGUGCUACUUGUCUACCAGGUGGUGUCCGACGGGACGGGCUUGGGACAGACUAGGCACCAUGGCAUGGUGUACCAAGUGGCACCCGGAUGGUGGGCUUGGGAACCCUGCACGCAUCGUUUGGGGCCAUACUGGAGACUUCGGCCGGAACUCCUUGCGGAUGGAACUCGAAUAGGCGAUAAACCUGGACGAGAGACUUGUGUGGUUAGUCAGGUCAUGGCCGACACCCUUGCCCGGCUUCCGCUUGAAGGUUGCCGAGGUACAUGACGUGUACAGGGCGAUAAGUGGCGAGAGCGUGUGUGAAGAAGUACACCCCUGCAGGGUUAACAUUAUCUAUUCGAAUAGCCAUUUUCCUCGGAUAUGGAAACUUGGAGGACUUAUGUAUUACAUAGACAACUUGAAGUGGAUACUCUAAAAUCCGCAAGAUAGGCGUGAGUGCUAUGAAUGGCCUUCUCGUAGGGAGACGGGAACAGAUCCAUAGUGGAGUAUUGAUAUGGUGAAUAUGUGGACUCGUGUGCAUCUUCUCACCUCAGAGAAGUUUCUGAUACUCGUACUAUAGGUUAGCAACUGAGUCAAAGCUGGCUUGCUGUUGUUAACUCCACCACCCCCCUUGUUGAUAAUGUUGCAUAUGUAGAUAGUUCAGAUGUAAGACUUGCUGAGUACCAUCGUACUCACAUUUUCUUAUCUAUGUUUUGCAGUUGGUUACACUAGUGACUUCGACGAGUAGCUUGUAUCCCAGCUACGAUCUUGUACCCUUGGGAGGGUAGUGUUUAGUCAGGCUUCUUAGUCUUUUCCUUUUGCAGUUGUCUGUACUCAUACAUGUAAUGCUUCGAUUGCUUGUAUGCUCUGAAUGGUGGGUCAUGAGACCCGUGUUUGUAUUGAAUGCUAUGUGGCUCUUCUGGGCCUUUAUCUAUAUGAGUUUGAGUUAUGUUGUGAUGCCAUGUUGUACAACACAUACUUGCAUGUUAUGCGUACGUGUAACGUGUAUUGCUAUGUGUGGGAUCCGACAACCUAGUUGUUUAUCCCUGGUAGCCUCUCUUAUGGAGAAAUGUAGUCUUGUGCUUGCAUGAGCCAUAGUAGUCCGCUAUAGCCCGGUUCACCGGAGUCCUGCUGGCCUAGCACUACUGCUCCGGAACACUUGGCUGGCCGGCAUGUGAUUCACUUCGUUCCUGUGUCUGUCCCUUAGGGGAAAUGUCACGCGGUGACAUCCGGAGUCCUGCCUAGCCUGCUACAGCCCGGGUUCCCGGAGUCCUGUUAGCCCAAUGCUACAACCCGGAUUCAUAUGCUGUUAACCGACAUGCUUGAGGUUGAUUCAUGUAUACCUGUCCCUGUAAGUUAGUGCCACUUUGGGUUCACGACUAGUCAUGUCGGCCCGGGUUCUCUAUCAUAUGGAUGCUAGCGACACUAUCAUAUACGUGAGCCAAAAGGCGCAAACGGUCCCGGGCCAGGUAAGGUGGCACCCGUGGGAAUACCGUGCGUGAGGCCGCAAAGUGAUAUGAAGUGUUACAUGCUAGAUCGGUGUGACUUAGGAUCGGGGUCCCGACAGCGUUGGUAUCAGAGCCGGACUGACUGUAGGAUUACCAAGCCAAACUGGUUGAAGUUGAGUCUAGAAAUGCUUUAGUUAUAUAAGGGAACUGAUUGUGGAAGGGAACGUAAGUCUCUUUUUACGCCUUUACCUCAUGUCAUUCUUUCUGAGUCAGCCUCUUCUUUUCUACGAGGGUUAAGGCCUAGGCUUCUCCUCUAUCUCUCAGGAUGACGUGUUACCAAACCGUAAAGUCUUAGGAUUGUUGGGUUGUGUCUCCGUACAGUUCUACUACUUCCGUGUGUCAUCAGUUUGACCCAGAACCUUGAUAUUAUGAUGUUGAGUGAUUAUGCUAUUCCUUUGAUGAAUGUCUCAAAAUCUUUUUGAGCAUUUACAGUCGUUAUGCUGCCGAAAUUGUCUUAGGAUUUCAAGAGUUUCCAAUUCUUUUGCAUUACAUUCCGCAUCCUUAUGUCGAUGCUAAUUCCAUCCUUGUUUCCUUGGUUUCUGUGCUAGGAUUUCGUCUGCUAACCGAGGUUUAGUUGCUCAUAGCAAGAACCACGGAGAUGGUAGGGACGAGGAUCCUCCUAACCAGCCUUUGAUGGCAGAGUUCUUGUUAGCAUCCAAGAGGAACAAGCGUGAGACUAACCGCUUGCUGGCACAGAUUGAGCAGAACACCGCACAUCAGCGUAAGAAGUUGGUUUCCAUACCGACUUCAUUGGUCUGAAACCACCCACCUUCCAUCAUUCCAUUGAGCAACUCGAUGCAGAUGUCUGGCUCCGGGGCAUCACUCACAAGUUGCGUUCUGCGAACGUAGCUGAAGGUGACAAGGUCACCCAUGCUACCUAUCACCUGGAAGGUCCUGCUAGUAUUUGGUGGCAGAGCUAUGAGGCUAUGCUACCAGUUGGCUAGAUUCCUACCUGGAGGGAUUUCACCGAGGCUUUUCGUGAGCACCACAUUCCUCAGGCUCUCAUUGACCGCAAGAGGGAAGAGUUCUGUAGUUUUACCCAGGGUAAGCUGCCUGUUGAUGCCUAUAGUAGAGAGUUUGGAAACCUCGCCCGCUAUGCUACAGAAGAAGUGUCCACGGACGCCAAGAAGCAGGCUAGGUUCCGGAAGGGUCUCUACCCUAAGUUGUGUCAUGAUAUCCACCUGCAUCAUUGUGAUACUUUCCAGGCUCUUGUGAACAAGGCCAUUAAUGCAGAGACAGCUCAGCUCACUUACAAGGAGUCUCGUAAGCACAACCAUGAUCUGGGUUCUUCCUUCCGCUCUGGCUCUCAAAAGCGACGGAUUUGGAUUCUGAACUCGGCUCUUCCACCUGUAUAUGCACCGAGGCCAUCCGAUAUGGCGCCUCACCCAGCUCAGCAACGUGCUCCACCCAGGCCUAUUAGUGGACCACUUGCCAAUGUAGGUCCAUGUCCUGCCUUAGAACUUGCUUCACCUGCGGAGAACCAGGACACUAUGCACGUGACUGCCCUCAGUCCAGUUAUAUUCCACCCCAGUCUGAGAGGUCUGUUGGCUGUGAGAAGCCAUUAGGCAAGAUGAUCGGUACCAAGCCAGCCACCACUGAACGAGCAUGUGUGCACCACGUCUCGGCUAUAGAAGCUCAAGAUGAUCCCGACGUCGUAUUGGGAACGCUUCUUGUCAAUUGUCACCCAGCUUCAGUUCUGUUUGAUACUGGAACAUCUCACUCCUUCAUAUCCGAAGGUUAUGCUAGGUUGCACGACAUGUCAUUUUGUGAUAUGCCGACUCCACUAAUAAUCCAGACUCCUGGUUCCAAAUGGCAAACGUCCAAGGUAAGCCAUGGUAAUGAAAUCCUUGUUGACAGACUGGUAUUCCUUGCUUCUUUGAUAUCUCUCAAGUCUUCAGACAUUAACAUCAUCUUGGGCAUGGACUGGAUGACAGCUCAUCAUGCCAAGAUCGAUUGUUACACCAGAUCUGUUCAACUUACACAUGCAUCUGGCAAAAUAGUCAUUGUCUCUACUAGAGUUGCAAGGUGUCAACUCUAUUCUCUUAAUGCCAGCCCUCUUCCAGACCUUGCAGAUAUUCCGGUAGUCCGUGACUUCCCAGAUGUCUUUCCAGAAGAACUGCCAGGUGUCCCACCUGACGGAGAUGUAGAGUUUGUCAUAGAACUUAUCCCAGGAACUGUUCCAAUCUCUAGGAGACCAUACAAGAUGGCACCUUUGGAGUUAGCCGAGCUUAAGAAACAGCUUGAUGAGUCCUUGCAAAAGGGCUUCAUCCGUCCCAGUUCUUCUCCUUGGGCUUGUCAUGUCCUCUUCGUCAAGAAGAAGGAUGGUACGGAUCAGAUGGUUGUAGAUUAUCAUCCCGUUAAUGUGGUCACGAUAAAGAACAAGUAUCCGCUCCCCAGGAUCAACGACUUGUAUGUUCAGCUUUCUGGAUCCUCAGUCUUUUCCAAGAUGGGUUUGAGGUUAGGCUACCACCAAAUCAAAAUCAUAAAUGGGGACAUCCCCCAAACGGCCGUUGUCACUCGUUAUGGUCAAUACGAGUACAUUGUGAUGUCUUUCGGCCUAACCAAUGCUCCAGCUACUUUCCCCCGCUUGAUGAACUCGAUCUUUAUGGAGUACUUAGAUAAGUUCGUCGUGGUUUAUCUCGAUGAUAUUCUUAUUUACUCGAAGAACGAGGAAGAGCAUGUCGAACAUCUUAGACUUGUGUUAGAAAAACUUAGAGAGCGCCGCCUUUAUGCCAAGUUCUCCAAGUGUGAAUUUUGGUUGCCAGAAGUGACCUAUCUGGGCCACGUGAUCUCUGGUAAGGGCAUUGCUGUCAAUCCCGAGAGAGUUAAAGCCGUUCUCGAUUGGACUCCACCCAAAAUGGUCAAACAAGUUAGGAGUUUCCUUGGUCUAGCCAGUUAUUGUCGCCGCUUCGUUGAAAACUUCUCCAAAGUGGCCAAACCCCUCACGGAACUUCUCAAGAAAGAUAAAAGGUUUGAGUGGACCCCAUAGUGUGAGCACAGUUUUCAGGAACUGAAAAGACGCCUGACUUCCGCUCCCAUACUUGUGCCACCGGAUUUCACUAAAGACUUUGUUAUCUAUUGCGAUGCUUCGCGUCAAGGACUAGGUUGCAUUCCUAUGCAUGAUCGUCAUGUGAUUGCCUAUGCAUCUCGACAGUUGCAUCCACAUGAGGAAAAUUAUCCUACACAUGAUCUAGAGCUUGCAGCCGUAGUCUAUGCACUUAAGACUUAGUGACAUUACCUUCUUGGUAACCAUUGCGAAAUCUACACUGACCAUCAGAGUCUCGAGUAUAUCUUCACCCAACCAGAUUUGAAUCUCAGACAGAGACAUUGGUUGGAGUUGAUCUCGGAUUACGACUUAGGAAUCACCUACACCCCAGGCAAAGCCAAUGUCAUGGCUGAUGCUUUAAGUCAUAAAUCCUAUUGCAACAACCUCAUGUUGCAACAAUGUCAACCACCUCUCCAUGAGGAAUUCUGUAAGCUUAACCUUCACAUAGCUCCUCAUGGUUCCCUUUCUACCUUGGUGGCGAAACCUACCCUUAUGGAUCAGAUCAUAGAGGCUCAGAAGCAUGAUACGGGAAUCUCCUGGAUCAAGAAAAAUAUUUCCAAGGGAGUUGCUGGCUGUUUCUCUAUGGAUGAACGAGGUGUUGUUUACUUUGGAAACCGUUUGGUGGUUACCAAAUGUCAACAGAUGCAGCAACUGAUCCUUAAGGAGGCCCAUGAAUCUCCUCUCACGAUUCAUCCCGGUAGUACCAAGAUGUAUCAGGACCUACGCCAGAGGUUCUGGUGGACUAGGAUGAAGAGAGAAAUCGCUCAGUAUAUUGCCAACUGUGACGUUUGUCGUCGCGUUAAGGCAGAGCAUCAGAGACCUGCUGGCACCCUUCAACCUCUAGCUAUUCCCGAGUGGAAAUGGGACAAAGUUGGUAUGGACUUCAUCACUGGCUUUCCCAGGACCAAGAAAGGAAAUAAUGCUAUCUUCAUAGUCAUUGAUCGUCUCUCCAAAGUGGCUCACUUCCUACCUGUUCGAGAGAGUAUCACUGCUAGUCAGCUCGCUGACUUAUAUAUCUCCCGAAUAGUGUCACUCCAUGGUGUUCCACUAGAGAUCAAUUCAAACCAUGGCAGUCUUUUCACCUCUCAUUUCUGGGAAAGUUUCCAGAAUGCCAUGGGAACUCAUCUUUCUUUCAGUACCGCUUUCCACCCUCAGUCAAGUGGUCAGGUGGAAAGGGUCAACCAAAUUCUCGAAGACAUGCUUAGAGCUUAUGUUAUCUCAUUCGGUAUGGAUUGGUAGAAGUGUCUUCGUUUCCCCGAGUUUGCUUAUAACAAUAGCUAUCAAUCCAGUCUUAAGAAAGCUCCUUUUGAGAUUCUCUAUGGACGAAGAUGUCGAACACCUUUGAACUGGCCAAAAACCGGUGAAAGACAAUUCUUUGGGCUGGAUAUGAUCCAGGAGGCAGAAGAGCCAGUUCACAUCAUUCAUGAGAAUUUGAAAACAGCCCAAUCUCGUCAAAAGAGCCAGUAUAACCGUCGUCAUAAGGAAGUGGCUUAUGAAGUUGGCGACAAGGCUUACCUUCGGGUUACUCCUAUGAAGGGUACCCAUCGUUUCGGUAUCAAGGGCAAGUUGGCUCCUCGUUACAUUGGUCCUUUUCGCAUUCUCGCUAAACAAGGAGAGGUUGCCUACCAGUUGGAACUACCCUCACAUCUUUCUCGAGUUCAUGAUGUCUUCCACGUCUCUCAACUCAGGCGUUGCUUCUCGGAUCCCAUCCGCAGAGUGGACCACAAAACGCUUGAUCUCCAAGAUAACCUUACUUAUCGAGAGUACCCCGUUCGCUUUCUGGAUCAAGCAAAGAGAAGCUACUUGGGAGCGAGAAGAUCGUCUUCGACUUGAGUACCCCGCUUUCUUUCCGCCAACUCCUGAAUCUCGGGACGAGAUUCUUCCGAGUGGGGGCGAGUUGUCACAUCCCUAGUUCUGGUAUGACCUAGACUAGCUAGUCAUUUGUGCAUCAUGUUUAAAUUCCAUUUAAAUUUGAAAUGGGGAUUUGUGAAAACCUUAGAAAUCAUUUCUGGAAAUGACCCAGAUAAAAAGUGCUCCAAAAAGGACCAAGAAAAUGUUCAUGUUGCUCUCUGAAAAUAUUGGUCAGAGGUAAAAUUCAAACCAAUAAUUUUAGGAGCCCAUAAAUAUUUAUUUUGGCCUUUUGGAAUUAAUACAAUAAUUAUUUGCCUUGGAUAUAUAUGUGUGUGAUAUAUUUUAUAUAUGUCCAAAAAUUCUGAUUUUUGCUGAGGGGCUUUGGAAUAACCCCUUAGGUCCCUGCAAAAAUUGUCAGAAGAAAAUAAAAUGAUUUAGUAUUUUACUAAAUCAGAACAAAUGUCAGAAAAAUAGAAAACAGAAAAGAAAAAGGAGAGAGAGAAAGGAACUUACCUGAGUUACCUGGCGCCCCACCACGGCCCAGCAGAGGCCCAGCCCACUGGCCUUUGCCAGUCACCACCUACCUCCCGCCAAGAGGACAGCGCGCGCGCGGCCGCCGCGCGCGAGCACACGCCCCGCCACCUCCUGCUUCCCGCCGCUGCCUCGGCGGCCAGGACGUCACCACGCACACCCUGGUCCCUCUCGCUCACUCCCUCGAGCUACUCCCCCUCCUCAGUUCUCUCUCUCGCACGCACCCGAGCAUAGCCGAAGCCACCGCUCGCCGUUGCUGCGGCAACUGCCUCCCCCUCGUCCCUCCGUCGUGUCCACACGCUCCGCCGCUGUGGGCUACGCCUCCUUGACGAGACGCACGGCGCCGGACGCCCUGGAACGUCGCCAUCACCAUCGUCUUCCACCUCGGGCUCCUCCAUCCACCACCGUCAAUUUGUCGUCACCAGGCCUCCCCCGAGCCCGCCGUGCUGCUUCGCGUGAUUGCCGUGAGCUUAUCCCUGUUUCCCCUCUCUUCUCCCCCUCGUUCCCGCGUCGUAGCCGUGGUUUCCACCCCGGCCGAAGCCAUCACCACCGCAGCCCCUCGCCGUCGUGGCCACAGCCGCCGCAGCUCGCAGCCGAGCCCGCCGUUGCACUCAGUGCACUCUGGCGAGUCGAGCGGACCCGCUCGCAGCUCCUGCUGUGCCCCAAAACACCGCGCGGACACCUGGCCGAACUCCAGCCGCCGCACUCGUCGUCGUCGGCGCCACUCCGGCCACUCCCCGGCCGCGCCACCACCACGGUUGGAUGCGGACGAGCGUCCGCAUCCCGUAGCUGCACUCCGCACGCCAAAUGGCUCCCUAUAGGCAAAACCCGCAGCGCACCGCCGCGUCUGGACUCGCCGGCGGCUAAACGCCGGUGACCGCUGACCUUUGACUGGCGUGGGUUGACCCCACUGCCCAGUUUGACCUCCCCCUCUCUCUCACUGACUUGCGGGCCCCGCCCGACUAAUUACUCUAGUUAGCACUAAUUAACUAGCUAGAUUAGCUACUACAGUCACUGACUAGUGGGCCCUGCCCAGUUAGUUAGGACUAACUAACUUAGUUAGUUGACUGGGUCACUGACUAGUGGGACCCACUAGUCAGGUUUGACCUGAUCAGCCCUGUUGACUCGCUUACGUCAUGCUGACGUAGAGCUGACGCAAUAAUUGAUUUCUGGAAUUAUUUUAACUCAGGAAAUUCCAGAAUAUUGCUUAAACUUCUAAAAUUCAUAGAAAUUCAACCGUAGCUCAGAAUGAAAUAAUUUAUAUAUGAAAAAUUAUCAGAAAAAUGCAAGGAAUACAUUUAUGCUAGUUCCAUGCAUGAAAAACAACCUUAUACAUGCUUUAUAAGUGAAAACAUAAUAUGGGCUUUUAAAUGCUUCAUUUUGAAUUGCAUUUGAAUCUUGAUUCAAAUGGGCUUCAACCAACUUGGUAGAAUCUUGCAUUAGCCCAAACACUAGCAUUUGCACAUGUCAUGUUCAUGCAUCAUAUUGUUGCAUUUGUUUGUGUAUUGAUUGCCGGCACCGUUUCUUCUCGAUAGGUUCCACUUCGGAAGAUGUUUCCGAGUACCUGUCAGAGGAGCAGUGCCCCUUCGUCGUCUAUCAGGCAAGCAAACCCCCUUGAGCAUUUCGAUUAAUCCCACUCUCUCGCUCUUGCUCCUUAUACUGCAUUAGGACAACAACGAUUCAACUGCUACUUUUCUGCUGCGGUAGUUGAACCCAUUCCUCUGCAUGACCUGUCAUUGCCACAGUAACUAGUUGAAACCCACUAGCAUGAGUAGGAGUUGCUUGAGCCUUCAUGGGCCUACUCAUCCAUGCUUGUUUUCUUUAUGCCAGCUAUGCUUAGAGUUGUGUCAGGUCUGAUUCAUCGGGAAUGAAUCGGAGUGGCGAACAUCUCCUACCGAUAAAGACUAAGUGUGUGAACACGUUUUGGUAAAGGUAGAGAUGAGAGGCCAUGUAGGAGUACAUGGUGGGUUGUCUCAUUGGAACCGUCUCUAAGCACUGUGUUCUGUGUAUGUUAUCCAAGUCCAGUUACUACCACACAUUGGGUUCCGGUUAUCCGGCCCCUCUCGGCUUAUUAAUCCACUUGAUCUCUGUCCAGGAGUUGCAACUAGUUUCUGGCGUUUGUAGGUAGUGCUACUUGUCUACCAGGUGGUGUCCGACGGGACGGGCUUGGGACAGACUAGGCACCAUGGCACAGUGUACCAAGUGGCACCCGGAUGGUGGGCUUGGGAACCCUGCACACAUCGUUUGGGGUCGUACUGGAGACUUCGGCCAGAACUCCUUGCGUAUGGAACUCGAAUAGGCGAUAAACCUAGACAAGAGACUUGUGUGGUUAGUCAGGUCAUGGCCGACACCAUCGCCCGGCUUCCGCUUGAAGGUUGACGAGGUACAUGAUGUGUACAGGGCGAUAAGUGGCGAGAGCGUGUGUGAAGAAGUACACCCCUGCAGGGUUAACAUUAUCUAUUCGAAUAGCCGUUUUCCUUGGAUAUGGAAACUUGGAGGACUUAUGUAGUACAUAGACAACUUGAAGUGGAUACUCUAAAAUCCGCAAGAUAGGCGUGAGUGCUAUGAAUGGCCUUCUCGUAGGGAGACGGGAAUGAAUCCAUAGUGGAGUAUUGAUAUGGUGAAUAUGUGGAAUCGUGUGCGUCUUCUCACCUCAAAGAAGUUUCUGAUACUCGUAGUAUAGGUUAGCCACUGAGUCAAAGCUGGCUUGCUGUUGUUAACUCCACCACCCCCCUUGUUGAUAAUGUCGCAUAUGUAGAUAGUUCUGAUGUAAGACUUGCUGAGUACCUUCGUACUCACGUUUGCUUAUCUAUGUUUUGAAGUUGGUUACAAUAGUGACUUCGACGAGUAGCUUGUAUCCCAGCUACGAUCUUGUACCCUUGGGAGGGUCGUGUUUAGUCAGGCUUCUUAGUCUUUUCCUUUUGCAGUUGUCUAUACUCAAACAUGUAAUGCUUCCAUUGCUUGUUUGCUCUGAAUGGUGGGUCAUGAGACCCUUGUUUGUAUUGAAUGCUAUGUGGCUCUUCUGGGCCUUUAUCUAUAUGAGUUUGAGUUAUGUUGUGAUGCCAUGUUGUACAGCACAUACUUGCAUGUUAUGCGUACGUGUAACGUGUAUUGCUAUGUGUGGGAUCCGACAACCUAGUUGUUUAUCCCUGGUAGCCUCUCUUAUGGGGAAAUGUAAUCUUGUGCUUCCAUGAGCCAUAGUAAUCCGCUAUAGCCCGGUUCACCGGAGUCCUGCUAGCCCAGCACUACUGCUCCGGAACACUUGACUGGCCGGCAUGUGAUUCACUUCGUUCCUGUGUCUGUCCCUUUGGGGAAAUGUCACGCGGUGACAUCCGGAGUCCUGCGUAGCCUGCUACAGCCCCGGUUCCCGGAGUCCUGUUAGCCCAGUGCUACAGCCCGGAUUCAUACGCUGUUGAACGACAUGCUCGAGGUUGAUUCAUGUAUGCCUAUCCCUAUAAGUUAGUGCCACUUUGGGUUCACGACUAGUCAUGCCGGCCCGGGUUCUCUGUAUCAUAUACAUGAUACAGAGCCAAAAGGCGCAAAUGGUCCCGGGCCAGGUAAGCUGGCACCCGUGGGAAUACCGUGCGCGAGGCCGCAAAGUGAUAUGAAGUGUUACAUGCUAGAUCGGUGUGACUUAGGAUCGGGGUCCCGACAGCGUCGCCACUGCUCGCGCGCGCCCUGACCGGUCCCGACCGCGGGCGGCGUUGCCCACAUGCUGCUGCUGCUACUAAUGUCCCUCCCCUGCUGCUCGCUGCCUAGCACCGACGCCUGCCUUCGCCGCUGCCCACUGCUGCUCGUUCGUCGGUGGCAGCCCGCGCCCGUGUCCCCCGCUCGACAACCGAGCCCCACACCUCCAGCCGCCACUGCCGCGCUAGGCCGUGCCCGGGCCUCGUUCCCCCCUACGCCUAGCCAAGCCCGCCGCCCCCCGCUCUUAUCCUCGUCGCGCCCUACCCCGCACCCCCGCGCGCUUAGCCGGCCGCCGCUCGCCGACAUCCGUGCCCUCCUCUCCCUUCCUGCUCGCGCGCUCCCGUCGGUGCCGCCCUCCUGGUGCCCGGCCCACCGCUGCCUGCGCCGACCUGGCCGCCGACGCCUCCCGCGUGCGUGUAGGAUCCCCUCCUGGGCCUGCCUACUUAAUUAGUAGCUAACCUUCCUCACCCCUAGCCAAUGACUGUGGGGCCCUUCCCACUAAUUAGGCUAGGUAAUUUAAUUGUUUACAUUAGUUAGGCUACUAACUCAAUGACAGAUGGGCCCCAUUGUUAAUUAAUCAAAAUUAACUAAACAAAUAAAGCCCUAGUCUAUGACAUGUGGGUCCACUUUGACCCCGUUGACCAGUCAACAUUGAUUGGUCAACUGCUGAAUGGACCACUCUUGGACCCCAUUGGUCAUACACUCAGGCUAGGUAGAACUAGGUGACAAAUGUAUAUUAUGUUUUUGCUUCGAAUUUAAUAGUUCCAGAAAUUCAAUAACACUUUAAAAAUUCAUAGGAAAUAAUCGGUAACUCCGAUGAAAAUGUUUUAUACAUGAAAGUUGCUCAGAACGACGAGACGAAUCCGGAUACGCAGCCCGUUCGUGCGCCAUGCAUCCCUAGCAUAGUGAACACGCAACUUUCUCCCUCCGGUUCAUCUGCCCGAAAACGUGAAACACCGGGAAUACUUUCCCGGAUGUUUCCCCCCUUCGCCGGUAUCGCCUAUCCCUAUGUUAGGCCACCCCUAGCUCAACAUAUUGCCGCGUCUUGCUUUGUGUUACAUUUGAUUGCUCUGUUAUUUAUUGUGUUCCCCCUCCGUUACUCCUUUCCGGUAGACUCCGAGACUGCUACCGAUGUCCGUGUGUUCGACUACAUCGAAGACGACCCCUCUCUCUUGCCAGAGCAACCAGGCAAGCCCCCCCUUUGAUCACAAGAUAUCGCCUACUCUUCUCUCUCCUUCUUGCAUUAGAGUAGUGUAGCAUGUUACUGCUUUUUGUUAAUCCUAUCCUGAUGCAUAGCCCGUCAUUGUUGCUACAACUGUUGAUAUCUUACCUGCAAUCCUAAAUGCUUAGUAUAGGAUGCUAGUUUAUCAUCAGUGGCCCUACAUUCUUGUCUGUCUGCCAUGCUAUACUACAGGGCCAUGAUCACUCGGGAGGUGAUCACGGGUAUAUAUUAUAUACUUUAUACAUAUAAAUGUUGUGACUAAAGUCGGGUCGGCUCUUUGAGUACCCACAAGUGAUUCCGAUAUUGGGGGCUGAAGGGGCAGGUGGUUCCACCCAGGUAGUGGUGGGCCUAGGUUCCCGACGGCCCCUGACUGUUACUUUGAGGUGGAGCGACAGGGCAGGCGGAGACCACCUAGGUGAGAGAUGGUCCUGGCCCUGGUCGGCGUUCGCGGUUACUUCAAAAUAACACGCUUAACGAGAUCUGGGCAUUUGAUCUGAGUCUGGCUACUGGCCUAUAUGCACUAACCAACUACGCGGGAACAAUUAUGGGUACUCGACAUCGUGGUAUCAGCCGAAGCCUUCUUGACGUCAGCGACUGAGCGGCGCACACCGGGUUGGACUGGAAUGCCUGCUCUUGUAUAAGGGAGGCUAGGUCUGCUCACCGGCCGCGUUCGCAACAUGCAGGUGUGCAAUGGGCGAUGGGCCUAGACCCCUGCGCCAUAGGAUUUAGACCGGCGUGCUGGCCUCUCUGUUGUGCCUAGGUAGGGCUGCGACGUGUUGAUCUUCCGAGGCCGGGCAUGACCCAGGAAAGUGUGUCCGGACAAAGGGGAUCGAGCGUGUUGGGAAAUGUGGUGCACCCCUGCAGGGAAGUUAUUCUAUUCGAAUAGUCGUGAUCUUCGAUAACAGGAUGACUUGUAGUUGUACCUUGACCUUAUGACAACUAGAACCAGAUACUUAAUAAAAUACACCCUUCCAAGUGCCAGAUACAACCGGUGAUCGCUCUCUCACAGGGCGACGAGGGGAGGAUGAUCGGUUAGGAUUAUGCUAUGCGAUGUUACUUGGUGAACUUACCAUCUACUCUCUUCUUCUGCUGCAAGAUGGAGGUUACCAGAAGCAUAGUCUUUGAAAGGACUAGCUAUCCCCCUCUUAUUACGGCAUUCUACAGUUCAGUCCACAUAUGAUACCCUUAUUCCAUUUGAUACCAAUGCAUACAUAUGUAGUGUAGCUCCUUGCUUGUGAGUACUUUGGAUGAGUGCUCAUGGUUGCCUUGCUCCCCCUUCCCCUUUCCUAUACCCGAUUGCUGCGACCAGACAUUGGCGUCCAGGAGCCAGACGCCACUGUCAAUGACGGCUACUGCUACUCGGGAGGUGCCUACUACUACGUGCAGGCCGCUGACGACGACCAGGAGUAGUUUAGGAGGAUCCCAGGCAGGAGGCAUACGCCUCUUUCGAUAUGUAUCCCUAUUUGUGCUAGCCUUCUUAAGGCAAACUUGUUUAACUUAUGUCUGUACUCAGAUAUUAUUGCUUCCGCUGACUCGGCUAUGAUUGAGCUCUUGUAUUCGAGCCCUCGAGGCCCCUGGCUUGUAAUAUGAUGCUUGUAUGACUUAUUUUUAUUUGUAGAGUUGUACUGUGAUAUCUUCCUGUGAGUCCCUGAUCUUGAUCGUACACGUUUGCGUGUAUGAUUAGUGUACGAUUAAAUUGGGGGCGUCACAAGUUGGUAUCAGAGCUGACUGCCUGUAGGAAUCCCCCUUCCAAACUCCUUGGCCGAAGUUGAGUCUAGUCACUGAAAAACUUUUACUAACAUGGCUGUGUGCCUUACGGGCCCAAGUUGCCAUUUGGGUGGUAUUAGGAUCUUUUACUCCUCGUCUAUACUCUGGGACUCUGAUCUCUCUUCUAUUCGGGUUAAAUGAUUUUGCUAACUCUAACUCUAGGUUCUCGUAAAUACUUUCUUCCGAAGAGCCCCUUCAUUCCAGAUGAUGGUCUGCUUCACCAGAAGAUUCUGAAGAUACUCUCCGUUAUUCUCUCGAGACCUUGUGCCCACCACUUUUGCUAUUCCCGACCAUCGAUAAAUCCUUAUGGAUAACUACAUAUACUUGACAUUCUUACAUUCAACCCCAUUGAUCUUGUUAUUACAAGAUACCCCAAAAUACUCGUUGUUGUUCCGAGAAUCCUUGUGCCUACUGCCUUGCAGUUCCUUAUCACUUGAAUACACCUACAAAUUAAUCCUCACGCACAUCAAGGAUUUGUUUCUCCCCAGUUGUUCAUGUGUUUCACCAAAGACUUCGAAAUACUAUUUGAUCUUCCGAAAAUCCUCAGCAGCUUAUUGCUCUUGAAAUUCUUGCUUGCUUGCAUUAUGAUUAACCUCAUAAGUCCGGUAAUCUUAUUGGCAUCCUUAGUCAUUAUUAGUUUGAGUCUGUUGAAUCAAUAUGUUGCAAAUGCUCGCAUUCCUUAAUCAGAUCCUUCGUUUUUUCCUUCCGGCUCAGACGUCAUUUUAAACAUGAGCUGGAUCUCGACCAAUUAAAUUUUGCCAUCAAUUGUACCCCUAAGGCUAUUCAACUUAUCAAUCCCUAAUCAGAGCAUUGCUUCUGAUCUCUUGUCUUGGAAUUGAUAAUUCCUUUGCAUUUGAACUUUGAGUUAGUCAGUUGAUUCUAUAAACUGAUCUCCUUGCAUUCCUGCUUCCUCUAGUUGAGUACCGAUGCUCACAUCAGAUCCCUUGUGGACCACUAGAUUCUUUGUUGGAUUUUAUCCGACAGCGUCCUUCAUAUUCUAUAAGCUUGUGAGCCUUUCCUCAGAUACAUAAUGCAUUUGGUAAAUUGUAUCCUCUGCUUUCUCCAGCAUGCUCUACUAUCGAGCUCGUGAUAUUUAUUCCUGAAAUUGUGGUAUAUGCUCCUAAGAGGCCUCAAUGGGUUGAACCUAUGCCUUCCCCCAAACCGUAUGAACCCAAAAGUUUUCGCGAGUCAUACUCUUCUGUUGUUUUGCCAGAUAAAAUUUCUACACUGUAGCCUCAUCAAAAGCGGGAAGUAAAAUGAAAGGUUAUGCAUUGAAGAAGUGGGAGUCGACCUUGAGCCCUUGCGUUCAUGCCCAUGGACCCGAUGUGGAACUUAUCAUCGAAGCUUCUUGUAAAUGAUAAUAAUCCCCUUGUUAUAAGUUCGUCCUGUAUCUAUGUUUGGUCCUUUGCAAUCAUGGUUCCGACCAUAUUUUCUCCUUAAUACCAUUUCUCGGACAAGUUAAAGCACUUGUCUUUUGCUAAUCAAUACACCAGUCCAACCUCUACUUUGAUCUACUGUCGAGUAUUACCCUCUGGUAUCUCGAGAAUAUCUAAGAACUAUGUUGCAUCUUAUGAGUUCUUCAUCGGCUAUUAUUUCUCGCCGAUUCCAAUUUUUCAUGGGUUCUGAGUCGUUAGUCGCUCAAGAACACCGAUAUGUGAACCGAUUCCGCACUCUGGUUCGAUAACUCUAAGUAAUCUUCGUUGCUUACGAGUUUAAUAAUCCUUCAAGUCAUUCCUAGCCUAAUCGGCUAUAUCAUUAUUGUGCUGAUUUUAUCGGUACUACCUCGUUCUUAAUCCCGAAGCACAACUUUCGACGAUGAGCUAAGCUUACGUCGGUCUUCAUCAUCAUAUCAUUUUGCUUUGGACAACAAGCUUGGUUUGGAGUUCGUGUUGUACCCUUGGAUCUAUUAACCUUUCGCUUCAUCAUUCCUUUGACUUGAUGUCAUCGCCGAUCGAUUACAUCUUCGUGGAGCCUCUCGACAAAAUUUGUCGUGAUCGUCAAACAACAUUUUGAUUCCUUCCAGAAUAUCAACCAAAUUGAUGAUGACAAGUACCAUCCUUGUCCCUCAAUGAUUUGUGUUAUCACCGACAACAUAAUUGCUUUCCCUCCAACACAAACUUGUUCGUGUUUUGUGUUAUACCUGGAGACCCGUGCUAUCUAGAAAUUAUUCUUCUUUACCUUGGAGUAUUACCAUCUUUUAUGUCAAGAAUGUCGUGAGAAUUUCACCACCUCCUGAGAAUUCUUGAUACAGGUAAUACUUAUCACCAUCACCAUUCCUUCUUGGUCCUCCUGUUGUUCCUGACCAGAAUACCGACAAAUGAACUAUGAUGUGUGAAUUCAAAACUUCUGGCAACCCUAUUGCUUAGAACCAAUGUUUUCUCGUGGAUGUUCUCCUCGAGCAUACAACAUUAUAUCAUUUGAUUUGAAAAUGUUAUCUCCUUGUUCACAUAAGAGUGGAAAUCCAGCUUUUGGAAAUCUUGAAGAAUUGUCGCUGAGUCCAUCAGCCACCCCCCUCAUCAUUCCCUUGGGUUAAUGAUGAACUCUUGUUUCGGAACUCACUCCCAUAGUUCAUUUCCUAAGAAGUUUACAAGGUCAUCUCGACAAUUGUGUUGCACCUUUUCUUCUCAGGCAUCCUGAGUCAGAGGUAUCCUGACACCAAUCAGAUCUAAAUCUCUAUCAGAUAUGAUGGUUGGGGCAUAUUUCCAAGAGUUAUAACACUGGUACUUAUAUAUCGGUAAGGUGAUGUCAUGCCCAUCACACCUGGCCGAAGGACUUGUGGUUAUAGUUUCCUGUUUAACAAGGUUAACCAUUCUUCCAUGAGGAAAUUGUAACACUUAUUCUAUGGGUUGUUCCUGAUGGAUCCUUUGCGUAUCCAAAGUCUGACCUUUGCUUAAAGACCAUGUCAACGCUAUCUCGAAGCAUGUAUGUGGUACUCCGAUUUUCAAUAUGAACAUUUGAAGCACAAUGCUAAAAUUUCUUUAUAAAUUACCCCAAGCACCGUUGUAUGGGUAAUGUCAUCAAAUUUCUCUCCCUUUUCCUAAAGGGUUUUCUACGAUAUAUCCUGUCAUGGAUAUCAUACUCUGCUUGUCCUUGGGAAGGAUAUACCCUUGAAAUAUGUGUUUAAACACAUUUUCCUUUCCAUUGUUCUGUUUAAUCUGAUAAUCAUAUUUUCCUUUUCAUUGGUUGGGUUAACGUUUCUUGUGAUCUAAAUGAUCUAAGCAGUAAUACUCUCCUGCUUAUGUAAACACCUCGGUGUACAAUUCUGUCAGCAAGACCCUGUUACUAUUGUUGAUGACAUUCCGGUAACCACCGAUGGACGAGAACCUUGCCUAUUGGUCCGCCUUGUUUCAAUGAGCAGGGAAAUGGUUCUCUUCGUCCCUCGCCCUUGGUACCAACGUUGUUGCCAAUUUAACUGACAUGCUAUCCUCUGACAUACCUUGCUAUCUUGACCGUGCAUGUGAUAGCGCUUUCCUGCUUUCAACCCACAUGGUGGGCCCAUAACCCACAGGUUCCAGGAUCGAAACCUGACUCUCCUGUACACCCCCUGUUCCCAAAGCUAUUCCUCGCGCGUGGCCUCAUAUGUAAUUCACGAUCCACCUUCCGAUGAGAUCAUCAAAUCCGGUAUCAGAUGCAAUACUUAUUCUCGUUGCUCUGGGGCCCCUUUCACACUUUGUUUAGGCAUCGAACGAUUGCCUACCUGCUCGAAACUUCUCAUGGUACCUCCUUACCUUGCUCUCGGCAAUUUCUUAAGUUUCAAUUCGAGAGUUACUUUCCGCCACCUUCCCUGAUGUUAUCUACUCGAUAAGCAACCUUGUAGCGGUCCGUUCUUCCAGAAUAACCACCCUUUAUUCUUUCGUAACUACAAUGAGGUUCCCCAGAGAAAGGACGACAACUUCGUCAUGAUGCAAUGGAAUAAAGAAUUGAAGACAUCAACGAAAAGUGAUUAACUUCUUCAAGAAGAGUAGCCAAGACCGAGAAGAUCCGUUGGAAUAUCGUAACCAGACCUUUUCCCCUUACUCUACCUCUUAAAUCUCGGGACGAGAUUUCUUGUAGUGGAGGAGAAUUGUGAUGCCUGGAUAAUUAAGCUACAGUGAUCCCCCGCUAAUGAUGCCAUGUCACCUCGACUACUAUUGAUAAACUCGCGUUGAUUCGAAACCGAUUCAAAUUCAAAAUCAAGUCAAAUGGUAAAGUUUUUCAAAUAUUAAAACUAAAAUGUUCCGGUUGUGCCAAAUAAUCCAUAGGCAAUUAUGGUGGGGAAAUAAACUUUCUGUAAAGUAUUUAAGUGGCCUAGAAUAAUUAAAACAUGGGCCAAUUAUUUAUUAAAAACAUUUUCAAAAUGGUAGAAAUCUCCAAACUAUUUUAUUUGCCCCAAACCUUUUUUUGAUAGUAGCCUAUAUUACUAUACUAAUUGUGGAGCAAGUUUUGUUUUUAUUAAGACUAAAAUGGUUUAGAAACUAAAUAGAAACUAGUAGUUGAAAUAAAAAGAAAACAAAGAAAAAGGAAAGAAAGAAAACC
RNAcentral lists this long non-coding RNA (21878 nucleotides) under Triticum aestivum (bread wheat). Its description in RNAcentral is "long non-coding RNA (TAES_LNC025673)". The record is from RNAcentral. Lineage: Eukaryota; Viridiplantae; Streptophyta; Magnoliopsida; Poales; Poaceae.